Molecule: transfer RNA, 50 nt
Filed under: Afipia sp.
Lineage: Bacteria; Pseudomonadati; Pseudomonadota; Alphaproteobacteria; Hyphomicrobiales; Nitrobacteraceae
Description: tRNA-Ser
Rfam family: tRNA
About the family: Transfer RNA (tRNA) molecules are approximately 80 nucleotides in length.
Source: RNAcentral
CCUCGUUGACAUCGAGGGGGUCACAGGUUCGAUCCCUGUCGCGCCCACCA